RNAcentral lists this ribosomal RNA (780 nucleotides) under Azotobacter sp. DCU26. RNAcentral's name for it is "bacterial SSU rRNA". It matches the Rfam family "Bacterial small subunit ribosomal RNA", at positions 127 to 900 of the family's 1533-position model. The record is from RNAcentral. Lineage: Bacteria; Pseudomonadati; Pseudomonadota; Gammaproteobacteria; Pseudomonadales; Pseudomonadaceae.
UGCCCGAUNNAGUGGGGGACAACGUUUCGAAAGGAACGCUAAUACCGCAUACGUCCUACGGGAGAAAGUGGGGGGUCUUCGGACCUCACGCUAUCGGAUGAGCCUAGGUCGGAUUAGCUAGUUGNNGGGGUAAAGGCCCACCAAGGCGACGAUCCGUAACUGGUCUGAGAGGAUGAUCAGUCACACUGGAACUGAGACACGGUCCAGACUCCUACGGGAGGCAGCAGUGGGGAAUAUUGGACAAUGGGCGAAAGCCUGAUCCAGCCAUGCNGCGUGUGUGAAGAAGGUCUUCGGAUUGUAAAGCACUUUAAGUUGGGAGGAAGGGCUGUAAGUUAAUACCUUGCAGUUUUGUCGUUACCGACAGAAUAAGCACCGGCUNACUUCGUGCCAGCAGCCGCGGUAAUACGAAGGGUGCAACCGUUAAUCGGAAUUACUGGGCGUAAAGCGCGCGUAGGUGGUUUGGUANGUUGGAUGNGAAAGCCAACGGGCUCAACCUGGGAACUGCAUCCAAAACUGCCUGACUAGAGUACGGUAGAGGGUGUGGAAUUUCCUGUGUAGCGGGGAAAUGCGUAGAUAUAGGAAGNAACACCAGUGGCGAAGGCGACCACCUGGACUGAUACUGACACNGAGGUGCGAAAGCGUGGGGAGCAAACAGGAUUAGAUACCCUGGUAGUCCACGCCGUAAACGAUGUCGNCUACCCGUUGGGCUCCUUGAGAGCUUAGUGGCGCAGCUAACGCAUUAAGUCGACCGCCUGGGGAGUACGGCCGCAAGGUUAAAAC